UCUGUCCGUAAUAUAAUGUCGUCACCUUUCGGAGUACCUAACACCAACUGCCUGAUACUAACAUAAUUAGCCUAAACCCCACUAUCCGUGACACCACUAAAUGUCACGCUCAUUUCAUCACUAAACAAUUGGGUUUUUUUCGUUUACAACCAAGAUACGGACCUCCCCCACUUGAUGUGUCGACCUUAAGUGACCCUGAACCGCCCGAAUAGUUGGUAGCACACUGCAAAAAUAUGGAUUCUGACCACUUUGACAGAGACGAUUGAUCACUGAACUCACCAAGGCCAAGUUAACAAAAAGUUGUCCAUCAGUUUCAGGUGAUCCUACAUAAAAGAAGAUAUUAUGCCCUAGCCUAAACCUACUGCAAGACAGUACAGGACUUGAAUUUUGAACCACCAUGACAAAAGUCCAAAGUGCAUAACCACAGCCAGACAAUCGUUGUUCACUUGUGUUGACAAGAGUUGUUAAGAAUAAAAAAGCACAACCUACCUGAAGAAUAACCCAUUGAUUUGGCCUUAGCCUUGCCCACAUCCAGCAUGGCUUGAUUAAUAUCACAG
Long non-coding RNA from Biomphalaria glabrata, 557 nucleotides. RefSeq lists it as uncharacterized. The record is from RefSeq and is a predicted model, not a curated record. The transcript has 3 exons. Lineage: Eukaryota; Metazoa; Mollusca; Gastropoda; Planorbidae.